Long non-coding RNA from Rhipicephalus sanguineus (brown dog tick), 391 nucleotides. RefSeq lists it as uncharacterized. The transcript has 3 exons. Lineage: Eukaryota; Metazoa; Arthropoda; Arachnida; Ixodida; Ixodidae. The record is from RefSeq and is a predicted model, not a curated record.
CAUUAUCCUGUGGUAAAGAGCGCUCUUCGUCUCGCUGAUCUUGUGUGCGGACAUUAACUUGAGCUAGUUUCCCUGGAGUACAUAUUCCACAUUCGUGACUAUUUGACUGACUGUUUUGAUAGGAGAAUUCGUUGUUUUGCUUCCCGAGAGAAACACAGACCAGAUGAACGUGCUCGCAGUAGCAGUCUUCAUGUGUGUGUACAGCGAUUGUGUUACAACACCACAUGGCGAGAACAAGCAUCAUGAUAAUGACAAGGCUACAAUUACCGAGAGUACAUCAUCUCCAUGUGAAAACUUUUACAAGCACGUGUGCCCUCACCCUAAAAAGAAGUCCCACGGAACAAAACCUGGUUUCUUGAAACAGGAGUUGUAUAAGAAAAUAAAAGGUACG